RNAcentral lists this long non-coding RNA (896 nucleotides) under Triticum aestivum (bread wheat). RNAcentral's name for it is "long non-coding RNA (TAES_LNC015469)". Lineage: Eukaryota; Viridiplantae; Streptophyta; Magnoliopsida; Poales; Poaceae. The record is from RNAcentral.
UGUUUCAUCGUUCUCUCCUUGAUCUCCAUCAACGUGGUUCGGAUCCUCGUCGAGAGUGCGCACGAGCCCACCAAUGGGUCGCCAAGGAGGAGGAGGCCAAGUACAAGGCCGCCAAAGACGCCUACGAGCUGGCCAGACGCAAGCUCGCGAACUUCAACGGGCCCCUCUCCCACCUCAACCGCCAGGCGCGCGAUCCGGCGGCUGAGCAGCCGCACCUUCGUGCGGCGGCUCUGAAUGCCGCGCAGGAGGAGCACGACAGGCUCUUCACCGACGAGAAGCUCGCAAAAAGGGAGAUGGAAAGGUUAGUGCAGAAACAAGGCAUGGAGCGGAUUGAGGGAUGGCCGUUGGUUGUGAUCCGUGGUUUGUUCUUCUUUUCAGUUCUUUGCUCCCAGAUUUCUUGCGGGUUUGCAACAGCAGGUUUCUAUUACUCCAAGCAGAUAGAGUCGCGCUGUGCUCUCGGUCCGCUUGAUAUCUUUGCUUUCGUGUUGAUUGGAGUCGUUUCACUGCCGUACCAUUUGUUCCUUUUCUGGGUUUCUCUGCGCGGGAACUAAUGAUGUCGAUGAUGAGUUUCAAAGCGGUUGGUUUGUUAGGCUAGGUCUUCAAAGCUGAUGUCCCCGUGGCAAGAUCAGCAUUUGUAGUAGUUUAAGAAGAUUCCGUCUGUGCUAGUACGUAGUAGUAGUUAAUUUGUAGUACCAGUUCAUUUGUAUCCCUUGUUGUAAUAGGUCUUCAAAGCUGAUGUCCCCAUGGGCAAGAUCAGCAUUAGUUUAAGCGGAAUCUGUGUGUGCUACUAGUUAAUUUGUACCGGUUGAAACUCAUACUAUGUAAUCUUCCUUGUAUGAUAUAUCGUGUAUGGAGCAACUAUUUACUUCACUGUUUCAAAUUAAUUAUUUACUUAU